UACGUAGGGUGCAAGCGUUAAUCGGAAUUACUGGGCGUAAAGCGUGCGCAGGCGGUUUUGUAAGUCUGUCGUGAAAUCCCCGGGCUCAACCUGGGAAUUGCGAUGGAGACUGCAAGGCUAGAAUCUGGCAGAGGGGGGUAGAAUUCCACGUGUGAGCAGUGAAAUGCGUAGAGAUGUGGAGGAACACCGAUGGCGAAGGCAGCCCCCUGGGAUCGAAGAU
Molecule: ribosomal RNA, 220 nt
Filed under: uncultured bacterium
Lineage: Bacteria
Description: partial 16S ribosomal RNA
Rfam family: Bacterial small subunit ribosomal RNA
Source: RNAcentral